AGUGAACGCUGGCGGCAGGCCUAACACAUGCAAGUCGAACGAGUGGCGGACGGGUGAGGAAUACAUCGGAAUCUACUCUGUCGUGGGGGAUAACGUAGGGAAACGUACGCUAAUACCGCAUACGAUUGAAUGAGCCGAUGUCGGAUUAGCUAGUUGGGGGGGUAAAGGCCCACCAAGGCGACGAUCCCUAGCUGGUCUGAGAGGAUGACCAGCCGCACUGGAACCGAGACACGGGCCAGACUCCCACGGGAGGCAGCAGUGGGGAAUAUGGGACAAUGGGCGCAAGCCUGAUACAGCCAUACCGCGUGGGUGAAGAAGGCCUUCGGGUUGUAAAGACCGUUUGUUGGGAAAGCGGUACCCAAAGAAGGAGCACCGGCUAACUUCGUGCCAGCAGCCGCGGUAAUAC
This 406-nucleotide ribosomal RNA is filed under the name uncultured bacterium. Its description in RNAcentral is "partial 16S ribosomal RNA". It matches the Rfam family "Bacterial small subunit ribosomal RNA", at positions 29 to 526 of the family's 1533-position model. The record is from RNAcentral.